RNAcentral lists this ribosomal RNA (528 nucleotides) under bacterium enrichment culture clone Cont79_3130. RNAcentral's name for it is "bacterial SSU rRNA". It matches the Rfam family "Bacterial small subunit ribosomal RNA", at positions 8 to 525 of the family's 1533-position model. The record is from RNAcentral.
AGAGUUUGAUCCUGGCUCAGAAACGAACGCUGGCGGCGCGCUUAACACAUGCAAGUCGAACGCGAAAAGGGACUUCGGUCCCGAGUAGAGUGGCGCACGGGUGAGUAACGCGUAAGUAAUCUACCCCUGUAUCUGGAAUAACCCACCGAAAGGUGAGCUAAUACCGGAUACGUUUAUCUUGAUGCGAAUGAUGAUAAAGAAAGGUGGCCUCUUCAUGAAAGCUACUGUACAGGGACGAGCUUGCGUACCAUUAGCUAGUUGGUAGGGUAAUGGCCUACCAAGGCGACGAUGGUUAGCGGGUCUGAGAGGAUGAUCCGCCACACUGGAACUGGAACACGGACCAGACUCCUACGGGAGGCAGCAGUGGGGAAUUUUGCGCAAUGGGCGAAAGCCUGGCGCAGCAACGCCGCGUGAGGGAUGACGGUUUUUCGGAUUGUAAACCUCUUUUCAGUAGGGGACGAAGCCGCAAGGUGACGGUACCUACAGAAGAAAGCCCCGGCUAACUACGUGCCAGCCGCCGCGGUAAUA